Molecule: long non-coding RNA, 567 nt
Organism: Manduca sexta (tobacco hornworm)
Lineage: Eukaryota; Metazoa; Arthropoda; Insecta; Lepidoptera; Sphingidae
Exons: 2
Source: RefSeq, a predicted model, not a curated record
GCCGAGUAUGACCGUCAAGGACAUUAAUUCAAUUGUAAUUUUUCACGACACCAUAAAGUGGUGGUCGUAAAACAUCACUUUUCACUAUAGAUUUUUCAUAUUAGGUUUUUUCCGUGCUUAGUAAUAAAAGAAAUCACUUAUAGAAUGCAGGGAAGGACCGCUGAGGGUUGAUUCCUUACUCUUUGUGACAUAUGGUUGCGUAGAAUGGGAUUUUCGCAAGCCGUAUGUCACUGUCACUCAGCAGGGAAGACCAGGAUGCAAACGGGGGGUCGGCCCUAAUCCACAGCUUGUCGAGCAAUAGAAGAUUAAUACCUUCAGUUCUUUGUGCCUGUACGUCGCACAAUCGAGGGGCACUUACAAUACCCCGCGGAGGCAUUACCUUAUUGUUAUUGAUUUUCAAACGUAUAUUAUAAAUAUACUAACCGCUGCCCUAUAGGUGGUCAGACUUUGUAAACUUAGUAGGUAUCUUCCCGUUUAUAAAUGUGGUAAAUUUAUAAAUCAUUAAGUGUAGAAUGUAAGUAUAUAGUAACAUGCUCUUGAAAUAAAAAGAAAAAGUGACAAAUGAAA